GGUCUGGAGGCUAUCAGGCACCCAGGUGGGCCAGGUCUAGCCUAGUGUCCAUGCGAGGGUCCUCAGCUCCCUGAGGCUCCCAGGAUCCGGGGUCCCCAAGGAAACUGGGAGCCAGGCUCCACUGGCCUGGCGCUGCCAUCUCUGGGAGGACAGACAUUCAUCAGGGGUGGCUGGAUAAUUAAAGACACUAAAAAAUGCAUCACCAAAGGUUUAUCACAAACUUGAUUGGCAAGAGAAGCCCCGGAGCUUACAGGGGGCUGAAAAUGAAGUGCUCUCAGGUACUCGCACCUGUGUUCUUUGGAACACCAGAGCAGAGCGAUGGUCCUUGGGGAGAGUGCCAGAGAAGUACCAAGUCUCAUCCCGGACCUGGAAGCCAGGAGCCCCACGGAGCAAGCUUUGUGGAAGGGUCCAGGGAGAUAAAGUGCAUGAAUGUGCCACCAGGUGCCUCUGCCAGGCUGGGGGUCCCCUCACCUCUCCAGAGUCUGCAGUGCUUUCCGGUGCAACUCAUCUUGCUUGGAUUUCAGAGUCGCUGGGAGAGACAAGACAGAGACAGAGCCAUGAGGGCAUGCUGAAGGGCUGCAGGCCCAGCCCUGCCCCAGCCCGGGGGGCACAAGCUCUGCAGGGAGAGGCCCGAUGAGGGCCCUAUCUGGCAAAUCCUGCACUCCAUUAGCUCUGCCCUGCUGCCACCCACCACCCUAGUCACCGGCGGAGGGUGUGGGGCGUCCGCUUGGCCCCAGCCUCCCUUCAUGUGAUCCGCACACCAGCUCCCUCCACUUCUUCACUUUCUUUGCCACCUGAGCCUGGAGAGACAGGCUCCACGGGCUGAUGCCUGCCUCCUGGGGCUUCCUUACCCACAGGGCUCUUCUUUUUAAACCAUUUUUAACAAAUUUUCAGUGUUAAAAUUUAAGGGCAGGGGCGCCUGGGUGGCUCAG
This is a long non-coding RNA of Ailuropoda melanoleuca (giant panda), 932 nucleotides long. RefSeq lists it as uncharacterized. NCBI's taxonomy places the organism in Eukaryota, Metazoa, Chordata, Mammalia, Carnivora, Ursidae. The transcript is spliced from 3 exons. The record is from RefSeq and is a predicted model, not a curated record.